UACGAAGGGGGCUAGCGUUGUUCGGAAUUACUGGGCGUAAAGGGCGCGUAGGCGGUCCUGAUCGUCGGAUGUGAAAGGCCUGGGCUCAACCUGGGAACUGCAUCCGAUACGGCGGGACUGGAGUGUGGGAGAGGUUGGUGGAAUUCCCAGUGUAGAGGUGAAAUUCGUAGAGAUGUGGAGGAAUACCGAUGGCGAAGGCAGCCCCCUGGGCCAAUACUGACGCUCAUGCACGAAAGCGUGGGGAGCAAACAGG
Molecule: ribosomal RNA, 253 nt
Filed under: uncultured bacterium
Lineage: Bacteria
Description: partial 16S ribosomal RNA
Rfam family: Bacterial small subunit ribosomal RNA
Source: RNAcentral